AUUCGAAUAAUAAUAACAAGCAUGCAAAACAUUCUAAAAAGAAGAAAUCGCAUCUUACAAAGAAGCACGCCCGUAAAACAAACGAUAAAUCGCGCUCAAAGAAGAUAGAAAAAGUGGAUAUUGCUGUAUGCCUGCAAAAGCUAAAUGAAAAAGUUGAAAAACUAACAAACAAAUUAGAAGAAUCGGAACAAUCACGUACAAAAUUUGAAGCAUCAAUAUUGAAAUCCCUCAGCACGAUAGAGAGCAACU
This is a long non-coding RNA of Temnothorax curvispinosus, 249 nucleotides long. RefSeq lists it as uncharacterized. NCBI's taxonomy places the organism in Eukaryota, Metazoa, Arthropoda, Insecta, Hymenoptera, Formicidae. The record is from RefSeq and is a predicted model, not a curated record. The transcript is spliced from 3 exons.